Molecule: unclassified non-coding RNA, 240 nt
Filed under: soil metagenome
Description: partial contains 5.8S ribosomal RNA, internal transcribed spacer 2, and large subunit ribosomal RNA
Source: RNAcentral
AAGACUAUAGACCUGCGGAGUACCUGCGGAAGGAUCAUUACCGAGUGCGGGCCCUCGCGGCCCAACCUCCCACCCUUGUCUCUAUACACCUGUUGCUUUGGCGGGCCCACCGGGGCCACCUGGUCGCCGGGGGACUGUCGUCUCCGGGCCCGCGCCCGCCGAAGCGCUCUGUGAACCCUGAUGAAGAUGGGCUGUCUGAGUACUAUGAAAAUUGUCAAAACUUUCAACAACGGAUCUCUA